Molecule: long non-coding RNA, 1458 nt
Organism: Diabrotica virgifera virgifera (western corn rootworm)
Lineage: Eukaryota; Metazoa; Arthropoda; Insecta; Coleoptera; Chrysomelidae
Exons: 2
Source: RefSeq, a predicted model, not a curated record
UAGGUCACAGAGGACUGGUCCUAAGAGUUUGGACGGUGUCCAACGAUAGAUUAGUUUAGAGUAGUGUAGUAUUCUUAGGUUAUUUUAGUCAUUCGGUUUAUUCACGCCUGGGUUGGAUCCCACAGCGUGUGAUUUUCUCUAUGGAUACUUGUAUUGGGUAUUUAUAGGUGUAUAUGGAAAAAAAUUGCUCAUAAGAUCAAUUUUUUUUUCCAAGUAAUGGGAGAAUGUAACGAUCAGUAUCCCGAUCGUUACUAUAAGAUUCAUUUCUGUAACUAUUAAGUAUGCAACCCGGUAUACGUUCACUCGCAUAGAGUGUAAUCUAAACUUGAGCCCAUUAUAAUUAUUUUGGUUGGUAGUAUGGUUAGUGAAUUUUACAUUUAUUCGUUGGCUCAUGGGUAAAUGACAAUUUCCGCCUGUUGACAGGACGGAAAGAAAGUGAAAGUUGAUGGUUACUUGAUCUUCGGUAGCCGUCUGCAAAUGAUGUGAUUUUCCAGCGACCGGUGUCUAGCCAUUUUAUUUUAUUUAGAAAAUAAUUAUUUAGUUGAAAAGGAAUGCAUUUAAGUUGGAAAGAAGUUUAUUUUAUGGUAUAAAUUAUGGUGAGAGUGCUGUUUUAGUUCCAAUAUCGGAGGAUUCUGGACAUUGGUCGCUGGAGAAUAGAAGAUUUAGUCAACAGAAAUAAGAAUAAUUUUUGGGAAAGAGUGGGAAAUUUUGGGACAUAUUUGGAAGUUUUGAUUUUAUUGGAAUCUUGGUUUUUAUGGAGUUUAUUUUUUGGAAUUCGCCGGUACUGAGAGGUAUCUCCAGUUGGUAACAAGGAUACACCUCCCUCCUAGGUUGAGGAACACCGCAAGCUACCUUCCUUGGGCCUCUGAUCAUUCCCUGGAAAGAGUUGGAGAACCCAUGGUCACUUGGUAGACCGGACAGGUUUUUAUAAGUCAAUUUGAUUGUAAUUUGUUUUAAUAAUAUUUGCACUUUUACCUAUUUUUUUUUUGUAUCAAUAACUUAAUAAUCCUAAUAAUAGUAUACCUUCAUUUUCUUAAACAUAAUUAAACUAAACAAUAAUUUUUCAAAAAUUUUAUAUUUCAAGGUUAGCUCAUUUAUUUUAAAAUAGUAGGGGGGAUUAUAAACUAUCUGUAAAGAUAGUGUGCACAUUAUCUCAGUUUGAAUCCUUAUCGAAACUUUGAUUUCAUUGUCAGGUAUUAUACUUACGUUUAUCACCUCCGAACAGAUACGAUAUUGUCAGCCAAUAUUGGCUUCUUCAUUAACAACAAAUUUGUACAUACAUUUUUACAUUAAUUAACUUUCAUAUAUAAACCAUUCUUUUCAUAUUUUUCACAUAUUGUAAAAACCUGUGUUAUCAACAGGAGUGUCAUAGCUUAGUACGUCCGGUUUAGCUAGUGUAUAAAAAUUGUAUAUAGGGGUUAUAGGUUUGUUUCAUUAAAUUUGUUAGUUGUACCUAAA